This is a long non-coding RNA of Pseudopipra pipra, 377 nucleotides long. RefSeq lists it as uncharacterized. The transcript has 2 exons. The record is from RefSeq and is a predicted model, not a curated record. NCBI's taxonomy places the organism in Eukaryota, Metazoa, Chordata, Aves, Passeriformes, Pipridae.
CUAUAAUGAUUCUGUGAUUGCAUGAUGCUAUGACAUAUGACAGUAGAGAUGGCUCACAAAUCUCCCUGUACCUAACAACCAGCCUAAAGCAAACGAUCUAACCCAAAAAUAGUCCUAUUUGGUAUCCCUGGACAAUGCCUUUGCAAUCCUUCACAUUUCAGGAAAGAACUCAUUUUUAUAAUAAUUGAAAACAAAUAAAUGAAUGGACUUUCUACUACCCUAUCUGCUGCACAGGGAUAGAGGGAAUGGACACAAGCAGAGAUUUGAAGAAAAACAUUGAGAUGAGGAAGAGUGGGUAGUGAGAAAGAUUUGAACCUACAUCUCAGGCAUUGUCCUUUCCAUCUAUACUCUUGUUCAAACACGUGGUAGACAACUGU